RNAcentral lists this ribosomal RNA (489 nucleotides) under Lysinibacillus fusiformis. RNAcentral describes it as "bacterial SSU rRNA". It matches the Rfam family "Bacterial small subunit ribosomal RNA", at positions 986 to 1474 of the family's 1533-position model. The record is from RNAcentral. Lineage: Bacteria; Bacillati; Bacillota; Bacilli; Caryophanales; Bacillaceae.
AUCCCGUUGACCACUGUAGAGAUAUAGUUUCCCCUUCGGGGGCAACGGUGACAGGUGGUGCAUGGUUGUCGUCAGCUCNUGUCGUGAGAUGUUGGGUUAAGUCCCGCAACGAGCGCAACCCUUGAUCUUAGUUGCCAUCAUUUAGUUGGGCACUCUAAGGUGACUGCCGGUGACAAACCGGAGGAAGGUGGGGAUGACGUCAAAUCAUCAUGCCCCUUAUGACCUGGGCUACACACGUGCUACAAUGGACGAUACAAACGGUUGCCAACUCGCGAGAGGGAGCUAAUCCGAUAAAGUCGUUCUCAGUUCGGAUUGUAGGCUGCAACUCGCCUACAUGAAGCCGGAAUCGCUAGUAAUCGCGGAUCAGCAUGCCGCGGUGAAUACGUUCCCGGGCCUUGUACACACCGCCCGUCACACCACGAGAGUUUGUAACACCCGAANUNGGUGAGGUAACCUUUUGGAGCCAGCCGCCGAAGGUGGGAUAGAUGA